GGAAAGGAAUCCUCUCCCCCUUCCCCUCCCCCUGGGGCGGGGCUCAACCUCUGGCUAUAAACCGGGGUGCUUCAGCCUGCCCAGCAAGAUUUCUCCCCACCACUCUCUCACACCUCUGCUGACCCAGACUCAGGUCACACCAGGACCCCAGGAUGUCGGACGCCGAAGAGCAAGAAUAUGAAGAGGAGCAGCCUGAAGGUGAGUGGGGCGCGGGCUAGCCUUGGCGGGGGUGGGGUUGGGGGUGCCUUGCAGCAUCUUACUUAGCCCACCCCGCCCGACGCCCGCUCUCCUGGUUCGCACAGCCCGUGCGUGGGAAGCGCUCUCGGGUCCAUUUGCCGCGGAGGCCCCGAGGGGCCCCCCUCUCGGUCUCGG
RNAcentral lists this long non-coding RNA (372 nucleotides) under Bos mutus (wild yak). Its description in RNAcentral is "lncRNA (ENSBMUG00000019958.1)". The record is from RNAcentral. Lineage: Eukaryota; Metazoa; Chordata; Mammalia; Artiodactyla; Bovidae.